AGGGCUUGGAGAAAUAACACGCU
Molecule: microRNA, 23 nt
Filed under: Columba livia (rock pigeon)
Lineage: Eukaryota; Metazoa; Chordata; Aves; Columbiformes; Columbidae
Description: cli-miR-9626-5p
Source: miRBase by way of RNAcentral